This is a long non-coding RNA of Numida meleagris (helmeted guineafowl), 1961 nucleotides long. Lineage: Eukaryota; Metazoa; Chordata; Aves; Galliformes; Numididae. The record is from Ensembl.
UUUAUAUAAAGUCACCACGUACAUUAGAAAUGAAAGCAACUAAUAUUAGAUCAUCUUUUCCAUCCCCCUGGCACUGUGGAAUUGUUCCCUACAGCCUGUUCCUGAGUGUUUUGUCCAGUCUUCUCUGAAGAAGCUUAAGCAACAGUGUUUCCAUUGCUUCUCCUUGGAAUCCUACCCGACAGUGUAGUAGAUCUGGCUAAUAGGAAACGUUGCUGUAAAGCAUAAAUUUUCCUGCUCUCAGUUUCAUCUCAUUAAUUCCACUUAUACCUCCUUCUCCAGUCCUAAUCAAUUCCUUUGCCUUUUAAGUGUUUAUAUCCUCCUAAGACUUAUGAGGAAUUAUCAUACCCCAAUUAGAUAUCAUCCAGCCAAGAUACUGCAAAGCCCAUUCCCUUCCUUUUCCUUCAGCCCACAUCUAAGCCUUGGAUCAUUUUUUCCGCUCUCUGAAGUCCCUUCAGAUUGUCAUCAAGUUGCCCUCAAUUUAAGCUGAAGAGAGGUCUGGUCCCUAUACUGCAGCCAGAGACGCAGAGAUCGGGUUUCCAGAAUGCUAGCAAUCCCCAGCUUGCUGCAAAGUCAGAUGGAGAUGAGUGGCCACGGAGACCACUCAGGAAGAAAAAGGAAAUAAAGAAGAGUGACAGUUUUCAGGGGAAAAGUCAUGUGAAAUAUCAGCAGAGCAGCAUCAGUGGUGGCACAGGGGGAAAGGCCCCACAGUAGAAGUGCCCCCAGAUCAUCACAUGCCAAUGUCCAUGACCUCAUGAGCAGCAGCAACCCAGUUCUUCUUAACAGGUUCGGUUCAGGAUUAGCUCUCUGGAAAUGGCCCUGGAAGAAAGAUAACAGGCCAUCAGGAUGCGCUGGUGAGGUGCCACUGCUCUGCACGAGGGAAGCGAGUGCUCAAGAUGCCAGCAAGCCUCAUCUGUGUGAGGUGGUGAUGCACCAUGCAAGCUGGACAGCUGUUGCACCCUGAGGUCACCUGGCGGAACUGCUUAAGACUGGUUUUGGUUGCUAUCCACUGGCCCAUACCACGUAUCACAUACUAUGUACAGUGCUCUGAUUGUCCUGUGUGGCCUCUUGACUUGACUGCCCCACCUCCAGAGGCACUUUCUGCACACUCCUGCAUUAUUCUGAAUACAUCUUGAAUGCUCAAUGGGAAGCAUCUAAUUGUGAGGAGAUCCAGUCCCCCUGGCUAAGAGACUGGGGACGUUCUGGAAAGGGAUGCACGAGCUUCACUCCACUCAGGCUGGCAGAAGCCCCUGUGAGAUAUGCAGCUACUCAGUGAGGUGAACAUGGUGGCUUGUUCUUGCUCCAGCCUUCUGCAUCAGGGCCAGGAGGAAAAUAGCAUAGCAAACAGUCAUGGAAGCUGCUUUGCUUCUUUUGAACCUUUCCAUUAGUAUUUGGAAGAUAAAGAAGGUGAGGACGAUGCUUGCUAAAGUGAACAACACCAGGCUUCCACAGACAGGCUGUAGGGUUGUCUAAUUCCUAGUGCUCCAAAUACUUGCUAAAGGCAGUCUUGUUUCAUAUUGUGGCACUGAUUUUCAAACAUGAUGAGCACUAAAAUAGCCCAGUAAAAUCCAAGACCUGACCAUCUUGUUGAUCAUACAAAUUUCAGCAGAAGGCAUUCUUGAUAUACAUAAGGUUCAUGCUCAGUCAUUCCAGCAGUGCUUUGUGGCCACCUAUACCAUCUGCAUCCCAGCACCAAUUGUGAGCACAGGCUGGUAUUUCUGGUAAAAUGCUCAUGGAGGGAAGUGGGCUGUGUGAGCACCUAGUUACUGGGGAUGGGGAGUAUUAAGCAGCAGAGACAUGUUACAACAAGGAGUUCAAGGAAUCUACUGUGAUUCAACAGCUGGUUCAAUCAAACCAGCUGAAACUGCCUUCAGUACCAUCCUGGACCAGAUUUUUCAGAAAAAUUCAGCAGCUUGGUAGCUCAGCCCUUUUGCAAAACAUCUUGCCACUUAUUGUCACAAUAG